Molecule: ribosomal RNA, 468 nt
Filed under: uncultured bacterium
Lineage: Bacteria
Description: bacterial SSU rRNA
Rfam family: Bacterial small subunit ribosomal RNA
Source: RNAcentral
GCCAGACUCCUACGGGAGGCAGCAGUGAGGAAUAUUGGUCAAUGGGCUUACGCCUGAACCAGCCAAGUCGCGUGAGGGAAGACUGCCCUAUGGGUUGUAAACCUCUUUUGUCAGGGAGCAAUUGGCGCUACGUGUAGCGUUAUCGAGAGUGCCCGAAGAAAAAGCAUCGGCUAACUCCGUGCCAGCAGCCGCGGUAAUACGGAGGAUGCGAGCGUUAUCCGGAUUUAUUGGGUUUAAAGGGUGCGCAGGCGGCGAGUUAAGCAGGGGGUAAAAUUUCGGGGCUUACCCCCGACAAGCCGUUGAAACUGGCUUGCUAGAGUGGGCGAGAAGUAUGCGGAAUGCGUGGUGUAGCGGUGAAAUGCAUAGAUAUCACGCAGAACUCCGAUUGCGAAGGCAGCAUACCGGCGCGCAACUGACGCUCAUGCACGAAAGCGUGGGUAUCGAACAGGAUUAGAUACCCGUGUAACA